UUGACCUCAAAUCAGGUAGGACUACCCGCUGAACUUAAGCA
RNAcentral lists this ribosomal RNA (41 nucleotides) under Boletus edulis. RNAcentral's name for it is "partial 28S ribosomal RNA". RNAcentral also lists the same sequence under 18 other names. The record is from RNAcentral. Lineage: Eukaryota; Fungi; Basidiomycota; Agaricomycetes; Boletales; Boletaceae.